CUCACUUGGAGUAUUGUACACAGUACUGGAGACCGUAUCUUCAGAAGGAUAUUGAUACCUUAGAGAGGGUUCAGAGAAGGGCUACUAAACUGGUUCAUGGAUUGCGAGAUAAAACUUACCAGGAAAGGUUAAAGGAUCUUAACAUGUAUAGCUUGGAGGAAAGACGAGACAGGGGGGAUAUGAUAGAAACAUUUAAAUAUAUAAAGGGAAUCAACACAGUAAAGGAUGAGACUAUAUUUAAAAGAAGAAAAACUACCACAACAAGAGGACAUAGUCUUAAAUUAGAGGGACAAAGGUUUAAAAAUAAUAUCAGGAAGUAUUACUUUACUGAGAGGGUAGUGGAUGCAUGGAAUAGCCUUCCAGCUGAAGUGGUAGAUGUUAACACAGUAAAGGAGUCUAAGCAUGCGUGGGAUAGGCAUAAGGCUAUCCUAACUAUAAGAUAAGGCUAGGGACUAAUGAAAGUAUUUAGAAAAUUGGGCAGACUAG
Molecule: non-coding RNA, 486 nt
Organism: Pelobates cultripes (western spadefoot toad)
Lineage: Eukaryota; Metazoa; Chordata; Amphibia; Anura; Pelobatidae
Source: the annotation of a GenBank genome assembly